CCCCGCCCCUAGCUGCCAGCAUUUAGUUGGGCACUCUAAAGGGACUGCCAGUGAUAAGCUGGAGGUAGGUGGGGAUGACGUCAAGUCCUCAUGGCCCUUACGGGCUGGGCUACACACGUGCUACAAUGGUGGUGACAGUGGGCAGCGAGAUCGCGAGGUCGAGCUAAUCUCCAAAAACCAUCCCAGUUCGGAUUGCACUCUGCAACUCGAGUGCAUGAAGUUGGAAUCGCGUAGUAAUCGCGGAUCAGAAUGCCGCGGUGAAUACGUUCCCGGGCCUUGUACACACCGCCCGUCACACCAUGGGAGUUGGUUUUACCCGAAGGUGCUGUGCUAACCGCAAGGAGGCAGGCAACCACGGUAGGGUCAGCGACGUGGGGUGAAGUCGUAACAAGGUAUCCGUAGGUGAACCUGCGGA
This 415-nucleotide ribosomal RNA is filed under the name uncultured Hyphomicrobiales bacterium. RNAcentral's name for it is "bacterial SSU rRNA". It matches the Rfam family "Bacterial small subunit ribosomal RNA", at positions 1103 to 1518 of the family's 1533-position model. The record is from RNAcentral. Lineage: Bacteria; Pseudomonadati; Pseudomonadota; Alphaproteobacteria; Hyphomicrobiales.